CAAGUUAUAUUUUAGUAAUGGUUGUUAUUUACAAUAAUGAUUUGAUUGUGCGAUUCAGUCUAGCUUGA
RNAcentral lists this transfer RNA (68 nucleotides) under Notobitus elongatus. Its description in RNAcentral is "tRNA-Val". The record is from RNAcentral. Lineage: Eukaryota; Metazoa; Arthropoda; Insecta; Hemiptera; Coreidae.